This 1372-nucleotide ribosomal RNA is filed under the name uncultured bacterium. Its description in RNAcentral is "bacterial SSU rRNA". It matches the Rfam family "Bacterial small subunit ribosomal RNA", at positions 28 to 1381 of the family's 1533-position model. The record is from RNAcentral.
GAUGAACGCUGGCGGCGUGCCUAAUACAUGCAAGUCGAGCGAACGGACGAGAAGCUUGCUUCUCUGAUGUUAGCGGCGGACGGGUGAGUAACACGUGGAUAACCUACCUAUAAGACUGGGAUAACUUCGGGAAACCGGAGCUAAUACCGGAUAAUAUUUUGAACCGCAUGGUUCAAAAGUGAAAGACGGUCUUGCUGUCACUUAUAGAUGGAUCCGCGCUGCAUUAGCUAGUUGGUAAGGUAACGGCUUACCAAGGCAACGAUGCAUAGCCGACCUGAGAGGGUGAUCGGCCACACUGGAACUGAGACACGGUCCAGACUCCUACGGGAGGCAGCAGUAGGGAAUCUUCCGCAAUGGGCGAAAGCCUGACGGAGCAACGCCGCGUGAGUGAUGAAGGUCUUCGGAUCGUAAAACUCUGUUAUUAGGGAAGAACAUAUGUGUAAGUAACUGUGCACAUCUUGACGGUACCUAAUCAGAAAGCCACGGCUAACUACGUGCCAGCAGCCGCGGUAAUACGUAGGUGGCAAGCGUUAUCCGGAAUUAUUGGGCGUAAAGCGCGCGUAGGCGGUUUUUUAAGUCUGAUGUGAAAGCCCACGGCUCAACCGUGGAGGGUCAUUGGAAACUGGAAAACUUGAGUGCAGAAGAGGAAAGUGGAGUUCCAUGUGUAGCGGUGAAAUGCGCAGAGAUAUGGAGGAACACCAGUGGCGAAGGCGACUUUCUGGUCUGUAACUGACGCUGAUGUGCGAAAGCGUGGGGAUCAAACAGGAUUAGAUACCCUGGUAGUCCACGCCGUAAACGAUGAGUGCUAAGUGUUAGGGGGUUUCCGCCCCUUAGUGCUGCAGCUAACGCAUUAAGCACUCCGCCUGGGGAGUACGACCGCAAGGUUGAAACUCAAAGGAAUUGACGGGGACCCGCACAAGCGGUGGAGCAUGUGGUUUAAUUCGAAGCAACGCGAAGAACCUUACCAAAUCUUGACAUCCUUUGACAACUCUAGAGAUAGAGCCUUCCCCUUCGGGGGACAAAGUGACAGGUGGUGCAUGGUUGUCGUCAGCUCGUGUCGUGAGAUGUUGGGUUAAGUCCCGCAACGAGCGCAACCCUUAAGCUUAGUUGCCAUCAUUAAGUUGGGCACUCUAAGUUGACUGCCGGUGACAAACCGGAGGAAGGUGGGGAUGACGUCAAAUCAUCAUGCCCCUUAUGAUUUGGGCUACACACGUGCUACAAUGGACAAUACAAAGGGCAGCGAAACCGCGAGGUCAAGCAAAUCCCAUAAAGUUGUUCUCAGUUCGGAUUGUAGUCUGCAACUCGACUACAUGAAGCUGGAAUCGCUAGUAAUCGUAGAUCAGCAUGCUACGGUGAAUACGUUCCCGGGUCU